This 645-nucleotide long non-coding RNA is filed under the name Lupinus angustifolius (narrow-leaved blue lupine). RNAcentral's name for it is "long non-coding RNA (LANG_LNC003081)". Lineage: Eukaryota; Viridiplantae; Streptophyta; Magnoliopsida; Fabales; Fabaceae. The record is from RNAcentral.
AGUUACGAAGGUUUUAAAACCAAGGUUGUAAUUGUGUUCUCACUCUAGAACCCUUCAUUUGGUUUCUAGCAUCACUUCAUUUCCAUUGGAUUUUUAACAAACGAUUACCUUUAUUUUUAACAAACGAUUACCUUUAUUUUUAACAAAACUUGGUUACCAUUUUACUCUCACUAUGUUACUCUUCAUUUUGAAAUUGUCUUUCAUCCAUUUUGUCAUCAUUCUUUUAAGGAACAUGCAUUACCUUCGUUAUUAAUGGGUUUUCAUUUUGUUUGAUUUCCUUAAAAGAUGACAUUUUUUGUGUUCCAUUUUAGAGAUUACUAUAUUAUCUUUGUCUUUGAUGGCUUUCCAUUUUUUUUCCAUUUCCUUAAAAGAUGACAUUGUUUGUGUUCCAUUUUAUUUGUGAAAAUACAUCUGAAAUUUCAUCUUUACUAUGUAUCUUUGAUGAGGUUUCAUCUUUUGUGGGUAUCCUCCUUUUCAUUUAUAUUUAAAGAUCACUUAUCCAUGGAUUUACUUGGUCUUUUUUGGGUUUUCAUUUUCUGUGUAAAGUUAGGUUUUUUAAGGUAAAUAUAUCAUCACUUUUAUUUGCAAUCUUUUGCUAUUAACUUAUUUUUUCCCCUCUCUCACUCUCUCAACUUUAUAUUUCUC